This 498-nucleotide ribosomal RNA is filed under the name uncultured bacterium. Its description in RNAcentral is "partial 16S ribosomal RNA". It matches the Rfam family "Bacterial small subunit ribosomal RNA", at positions 30 to 523 of the family's 1533-position model. The record is from RNAcentral.
AUUGAACGCUGGCGGCAUGCCUUACACACGCAAGUCGAACGGUAACAGGUCUUCGGAUGCUGACGAGUGGCGAACGGGUGAGUAAUACAUCGGAACGUGCCCGAGAGUGGGGGAUAACGAAGCGAAAGCUUUGCUAAUACCGCAUACGAUCUCAGGAUGAAAGCAGGGGACCGCAAGGCCUUGCGCUCACGGAGCGGCCGAUGGCAGAUUAGGUAGUUGGUGGGAUAAAAGCUUACCAAGCCGACGAUCUGUAGCUGGUCUGAGAGGACGACCAGCCACACUGGGACUGAGACACGGCCCAGACUCCUACGGGAGGCAGCAGUGGGGAAUUUUGGACAAUGGGCGCAAGCCUGAUCCAGCCAUGCCGCGUGCAGGAUGAAGGCCUUCGGGUUGUAAACUGCUUUUGUACGGAACGAAAAGACUCUGGUUAAUACCUGGGGUCCAUGACGGUACCGUAAGAAUAAGCACCGGCUAACUACGUGCCAGCCGCCGCGGUAA